RNAcentral lists this ribosomal RNA (445 nucleotides) under uncultured bacterium. Its description in RNAcentral is "bacterial SSU rRNA". It matches the Rfam family "Bacterial small subunit ribosomal RNA", at positions 354 to 796 of the family's 1533-position model. The record is from RNAcentral.
GUGAGGAAUAUCGGUCAAUGGGCGCAAGCCUGAACCAGCCAUGCCGCGUGCAGGAAGACGGUCCUAUGGAUUGUAAACUGCUUUUAUUUGGGAAUAAACUCCGGUACGUGUACCGGCCUGAAGGUACCAAAUGAAUAAGCACCGGCUAACUCCGUGCCAGCAGCCGCGGUAAUACGGAGGGUGCAAGCGUUAUCCGGAAUCAUUGGGUUUAAAGGGUCCGCAGGCGGUCUUAUAAGUCAGUGGUGAAAGCCUACAGCUCAACUGUAGAACUGCCAUUGAUACUGUAGGACUUGAAUUCGAUCGAAGUGGGCGGAAUGUGACAUGUAGCGGUGAAAUGCUUAGAUAUGUCACAGAACACCGAUAGCGAAGGCAGCUCACUAGGUCUGGAUUGACGCUCAGGGACGAAAGCGUGGGGAGCAAACAGGAUUAGAUACCCCAGUAGUCC